Molecule: ribosomal RNA, 461 nt
Filed under: uncultured archaeon
Lineage: Archaea
Description: bacterial SSU rRNA
Rfam family: Archaeal small subunit ribosomal RNA
Source: RNAcentral
CCACAAGGGGUGAAGCCUGCGGUUCAAUUGGAGUCAACGCCAGGAAACUUACCAGGAGAGACAGCAGGUUGAGGGUCAGUCUGAAGAACUUACCUGACGAGCUGAGAGGAGGUGCAUGGCCGUCGCCAGCUCGUGCCGUGAGGCGUCCUGUUAAGUCAGGCAACGAGCGAGACCCCUAUCGGUAAUUGCUAACUGCUCAGAGAUGGGCAGAGGCUAGUUACAGAGACUGCCGUUGAUAAAACGGAGGAAGGAAGGGGCCACGGCAGGUCAGUAUGCCCCGAAACUCCUGGGCCACACGCGGGCUGCAAUGGUAGGGACAAUAGGUUCCGACCUCGAAAGAGGAAGGCAAUCCCCAAACCCUACCCCAGUUGUGAUCGAGGAUUGAAACCCGUCCUCGUGAAUAUGGAAUCCCUAGUAACCGCGUGUCAUCACCGCGCGGUGAAUACGUCCCUGCUCCUUGU